UUACUUCGGUAAUGACGUUAGGAAAGCGAGCGGCGGAUGGGUGAGUAACACGUGGGGAACCUGCCCCAUAGUCUGGGAUACCACUUGGAAACAGGUGCUAAUACCGGAUAAGAAAGCAGAUCGCAUGAUCAGCUUUUAAAAGGCGGCGUAAGCUGUCGCUAUGGGAUGGCCCCGCGGUGCAUUAGCUAGUUGGUAAGGUAAAGGCUUACCAAGGCGAUGAUGCAUAGCCGAGUUGAGAGACUGAUCGGCCACAUUGGGACUGAGACACGGCCCAAACUCCUACGGGAGGCAGCAGUAGGGAAUCUUCCACAAUGGACGCAAGUCUGAUGGAGCAACGCCGCGUGAGUGAAGAAGGUUUUCGGAUCGUAAAGCUCUGUUGUUGGUGAAGAAGGAUAGAGGUAGUAACUGGCCUUUAUUUGACGGUAAUCAACCAGAAAGUCACGGCUAACUACGUGCCAGCAGCCGCGGUAAUACGUAGGUGGCAAGCGUUGUCCGGAUUUAUUGGGCGUAAAGCGAGCGCAGGCGGAAGAAUAAGUCUGAUGUGAAAGCCCUCGGCUUAACCGAGGAACUGCAUCGGAAACUGUUUUUCUUGAGUGCAGAAGAGGAGAGUGGAACUCCAUGUGUAGCGGUGGAAUGCGUAGAUAUAUGGAAGAACACCAGUGGCGAAGGCGGCUCUCUGGUCUGCAACUGAC
Molecule: ribosomal RNA, 692 nt
Filed under: uncultured Bacilli bacterium
Lineage: Bacteria; Bacillati; Bacillota; Bacilli
Description: bacterial SSU rRNA
Rfam family: Bacterial small subunit ribosomal RNA
Source: RNAcentral